CAGCAGCCACGGGAAUACGUAGGUGGCAAGCGUUGUCCGGAAUUAUUGGGCGUAAAGCGCGCGCAGGCGGAUAGGUCAGUCUGUCUUAAAAGUUCGGGGCUUAACCCCGUGAUGGGAUGGAAACUGCCAAUCUAGAGUAUCGGAGAGGAAAGUGGAAUUCCUAGUGUAGCGGUGAAAUGCGUAGAUAUUAGGAAGAACACCAGUGGCGAAGGCGACUUUCUGGACGAAAACUGACGCUGAGGCGCGAAAGCCAGGGGAGCGAACGGGACUAGAUACCCCAGUAGUCCCUGUCUCUUAUACA
RNAcentral lists this ribosomal RNA (301 nucleotides) under uncultured bacterium. RNAcentral's name for it is "partial 16S ribosomal RNA". It matches the Rfam family "Bacterial small subunit ribosomal RNA", at positions 509 to 809 of the family's 1533-position model. The record is from RNAcentral.